Molecule: ribosomal RNA, 1247 nt
Filed under: metagenome
Description: bacterial SSU rRNA
Rfam family: Bacterial small subunit ribosomal RNA
Source: RNAcentral
GUUGGUGGGGUGACGGCCCACCAAGGCGACGAUCGGUAGCCGGACUGGGAGGUUGAACGGCCACAUUGGGACUGAGACACGGCCCAGACUCCUACGGGAGGCAGCAGUGGGGAAUAUUGCACAAUGGGGGAAACCCUGAUGCAGCGACGCCGCGUGGAGGAAGAAGGUCUUCGGAUUGUAAACUCCUGUUGUUGAGGAAGAUAAUGACGGUACUCAACAAGGAAGUGACGGCUAACUACGUGCCAGCAGCCGCGGUAAAACGUAGGUCACAAGCGUUGUCCGGAAUUACUGGGUGUAAAGGGAGCGCAGGCGGGAAGACAAGUUGGAAGUGAAAUCCAUGGGCUCAACCCAUGAACUGCUUUCAAAACUGUUUUUCUUGAGUAGUGCAGAGGUAGGCGGAAUUCCCGGUGUAGCGGUGGAAUGCGUAGAUAUCGGGAGGAACACCAGUGGCGAAGGCGGCCUACUGGGCACCAACUGACGCUGAGGCUCGAAAGUGUGGGUAGCAAACAGGAUUAGAUACCCUGGUAGUCCACACUGUAAACGAUGAUUACUAGGUGUUGGAGGAUUGACCCCUUCAGUGCCGCAGUUAACACAAUAAGUAAUCCACCUGGGGAGUACGACCGCAAGGUUGAAACUCAAAGGAAUUGACGGGGGCCCGCACAAGCAGUGGAGUAUGUGGUUUAAUUCGACGCAACGCGAAGAACCUUACCAAGUCUUGACAUCCUGCGACGGUUCUGGAAACAGAACUUUCCUUCGGGACGCAGAGACAGGUGGUGCAUGGUUGUCGUCAGCUCGUGUCGUGAGAUGUUGGGUUAAGUCCCGCAACGAGCGCAACCCUUAUGGUCAGUUACUACGCAAGAGGACUCUGGCCAGACUGCCGUUGACAAAACGGAGGAAGGUGGGGAUGACGUCAAAUCAUCAUGCCCUUUAUGACUUGGGCUACACACGUACUACAAUGGCGUUAAACAAAGAGAAGCAAGACCGCGAGGUGGAGCAAAACUCAGAAACAACGUCCCAGUUCGGACUGCAGGCUGCAACUCGCCUGCACGAAGUCGGAAUUGCUAGUAAUCGCAGAUCAGCAUGCUGCGGUGAAUACGUUCCCGGGCCUUGUACACACCGCCCGUCACACCAUGAGAGCCGGGGGGACCCGAAGUCGGUAGUCUAACCGCAAGGAGGACGCCGCCGAAGGUGAAACUGGUGAUUGGGGUGAAGUCGUAACAAGGUAGCCGUAGGAGAACCUGCGGCUG